Long non-coding RNA from Zerene cesonia (dogface butterfly), 230 nucleotides. RefSeq lists it as uncharacterized. The transcript has 3 exons. NCBI's taxonomy places the organism in Eukaryota, Metazoa, Arthropoda, Insecta, Lepidoptera, Pieridae. The record is from RefSeq and is a predicted model, not a curated record.
UAGAGUGUGGACAGGUGUUUAGUUGACGACUAACGAAACUUUAUACGACAACUCGUGUAUAGGAUAAUAUUAUAUGACCAGUACAUUGGUAUUCGAAUUUAGAUGUGUUUAAACUGUUUUUGAUUUGUGCUUAUUGACUGUUUGUGUACUUAUUACUGAUUGCUGUAGAAGUUGCGAGGUAGUUUGUUGGUGAAUGACGUGCGAUAAAGAUUUGAACAUCAUUCGGAAAA